This is a long non-coding RNA of Megalobrama amblycephala (Wuchang bream), 1805 nucleotides long. RefSeq lists it as uncharacterized. The transcript is spliced from 3 exons. NCBI's taxonomy places the organism in Eukaryota, Metazoa, Chordata, Actinopteri, Cypriniformes, Xenocyprididae. The record is from RefSeq and is a predicted model, not a curated record.
UCUCUCUGUUUGCGGAAUCAUUUUCUCUGUGAACUCUUUGCUCAUUUUGUUCACAAAAUGGUUUCCGUUCACAGGUCUACUAGCAUUAUCCCAAUUUUUGUUAGGACUUGCCAUCUCUGGUUCUCCUCUGUUUCAGUGUCUGAUCUGUUUUGAGCGUUACCUGGCAGUGGUUCAUCCUGUAACCUUUCUGAAGUUCAAACCUCUCAGAUAUAGAGUGAUCUGCUGUACUGUGGCCUGGAUAAUCACUCUUGGCAGUUGUUUGGUCUGCAUGCUUAGUUUUCUAUUUGUAUUAUAUUUUUAUACAUACGUGUGGUUCCUCUCAAUGCAAUUCAUACUCUUCCUCUCCAUUAAGAUGUUCUGCUGUGUGGCUGUUCUCAGAGCUCUGAAGCAGUCAGGACCAGGAGAGAGAGGGAGAGAGAGAGAGGAGGAAAACCACAUGAAGAGAAGAGCGUUUUAUCUCAUUCAACCAGUGUCCUAUGUGAUGAAAAUGAAAUCAUUGAAGUCGUGACAGCUGUGAAGUGACUAUAAAACAGCAGUGAGCUUCAUGUCAAGCCAGAGAGACUGAACCUUCACUCUUCAGAUCACAAUUGUUCCUUUUGUGCUUCUGGUUGGAGAAGAUAAACAUGGAACUAAUGAAGAACUUCACCACACCUCAUUCAUUUGCCAACCACACAUUUUUUCCAUUUUGGUAAAUAGGAAUGUUUGAAAUUUGUAUGCUUACCUUCAGCUUCAUCUCUGGUGUUUCUAUACACUCCUGUGUGAUCUGGCUCAUCAUCACAGGAACAGGAAGUGGAGUUUUAGCAGAGUUCCUCAACAUCAGUCUCUCUCUUUGUGGGAUCAUUUUCUCUCUGAAUUCUUUGCUCAUUCUGAUCACAAAUUGGUUUCUGUUUCCAGUUCUCCUAUCAUUAACACAGUUUUUAGUUGGACUAUGCAUCACUGGUCAUCCUCUGUUUCAGUGUAUAAUGUGUGUUGAGCGUUACCUGGCAGUGGUUCAUCCUGUAACCUUUCUGAAGUACAAACCUCUCAGAUAUAAAGUGAUCUGCUGCACUGUGGCCUGGAUAAUCACCAUCGGCUACAGUUUUUUCUCCAUGAUUGUUUUUGUCUCAUCUCCUACUUAUAUUUAUACAUUGUUCUUCUCCACACAGUUCCUCUUCUUCCUCUCCAUCCAGUUGUUUUGUCUUGUGGCUGUUCUCAGAGCUCUGAAGCAGUCAGGACCAGGAGAAAGAGGGAGAGGGAGAGGGGAGGAAAACCACAAGAAGAGAAGAGCGUUUUAUCUCAUUGUAGUAACUACUGUUAGCUUGGUUAUCACAUAUGUUCCUUUUACUAUGACUGGAAUAGUCAGUAUUUUGAUAGAAAAGAGUUCUUCAGCCAUCUGGUCAGUAUGUUAUAUUUGUUUUAUGCUGGCUGAUUUAGUUCAGCCUUUUCAUUAUCUGCACCGGAAUGGAAAACUCUCCUGCUUCUUUGUGAGAAAAGAACUUCAUCUGUGACAUUUUAUUGAGUUACUAAUACUUAUAUUGUCUGAUUUGCAACUGUGUCUUAUUUUGUUGUAAUGAUCCGCUGACUACUACAUUGCUACUUAACAAAUAAAUGAAUAUUUAGACAGGAAAAAUGCAGGUAGGGCCUAUAUUGCAACAUCUGUUCAGCUGAAAGAUUCUAGAACACAUUUAUGGGGGCGUUAUGAACCGUAUGUUCUGUUGUUUAGUGUAAAUGUGUGCUAUGUAGGGUUUAGAUUUAUACAAUAUAAAGGUGUAUUUUGUUAUUUACUUCAUGCUUACUGUAUUUCAUUUUCUGUAAAAAUAUAUUUU